This 70-nucleotide transfer RNA is filed under the name Marmota monax (woodchuck). RNAcentral describes it as "tRNA.Ala". Lineage: Eukaryota; Metazoa; Chordata; Mammalia; Rodentia; Sciuridae. The record is from RNAcentral.
GGGCUGGGGCUCAGUGGUAGAGCACUUGCCUAGCAUGUGUGAGGCACUGGGUUCAAUUCUCAGCACCACA